GCCCAGGUGGGACCCUUAUCUGCAGUUCCUGGAACACCCUGGCCCCAGGUGCCAGGAACCAGUAUCUGCCCCAUAAUCCCAUGGGGCUGCUUGGCAGGUGCUCAGAUCACCGGGAGGGAGACAGGUCCCCAUGCAGAGGGUGGCUCAGGAGCACCUCCCAUCCUCUCUUCUCAGCAGUACUAUACCCCGUGCCUCAGUUUCCUG
This 204-nucleotide long non-coding RNA is filed under the name Mus musculus (house mouse). RNAcentral describes it as "long non-coding RNA chr15:78850587-78850791". Lineage: Eukaryota; Metazoa; Chordata; Mammalia; Rodentia; Muridae. The record is from RNAcentral.